RNAcentral lists this long non-coding RNA (496 nucleotides) under Rattus norvegicus (Norway rat). RNAcentral's name for it is "long non-coding RNA NONRATT031324". The record is from RNAcentral. Lineage: Eukaryota; Metazoa; Chordata; Mammalia; Rodentia; Muridae.
GGGCGCUGUCCUCCCUUCGCCCAGCCGUGAGCCCCACUGCAUUUUUUUGAGGCUUAAAGUGGCAUUCUCUAAACAAUUUAAAAAUCAUGUCAAGCUCAAUUGAACAGAAAAAAGGGUCUACGAGACAGCGCAAAUGUGGCUUUUGUAAGUCAAAUAGAGACAAGGAAUGCGGACAAUUACUGAUAUCUGAAAACCAGAAGGUGGCAGCACACCAUAAGUGCAUGCUGUUUUCAUCUGCUUUGGUAUCCUCACAUUCUGAUAAUGAGAGUCUUGGUGGAUUUUCUAUUGAAGAUGUCCAAAAGGAAAUUAAAAGAGGCACAAAGCUGGAGUUUUUCCGAAGCUGUGCUAGAGUUAUGCUCCCGUAGUUAUCCUUAUCACCAUAACCAGAUUGGCAAGAUGUUAUAUUGCUCCUUGGGAAAAAUAGCCUCAUCUCAAUUGGUAUUUACAACACCUGACUUAUCACGAAAUACUUAAUUGAUUAAAAGAUUUCUUUUCA